This is a non-coding RNA of Synergistales bacterium 53_16, 110 nucleotides long. The record is from Rfam. NCBI's taxonomy places the organism in Bacteria, Thermotogati, Synergistota, Synergistia, Synergistales.
AUGAAGGCUGCAAGAGAGACUCCUGUCAAUGCGAGGACGGAGCGCCGAAGGUGCAACCUUCUCCCAAAGGGGGAAGGGAAACUCUCAGGCGGAAGGAUUGCAGCUGGACG